This 546-nucleotide ribosomal RNA is filed under the name Triticum aestivum (bread wheat). RNAcentral describes it as "partial small subunit ribosomal RNA". The record is from RNAcentral. Lineage: Eukaryota; Viridiplantae; Streptophyta; Magnoliopsida; Poales; Poaceae.
AUGAGAUCCCACCACCGGGUCCUCGCCGCCCACGCAAGCCGAGGAAGACCGGCCACACACCCGCAGCCACCCUCCGUCAGGGAAGGCUCCGCCCACCUUGACCGGGGCCGCCACCCCGGCACACCAAGCUCUCCACGCGAGGAGCAGCCAGCCCCGCCGCCACCUUCCUCGACGCCGCGCGGGCUUGCCGGCGGCUAUCUCUGGUGGCGGCGAUCUCUGGUGGAGCAUUUGCUUGUGGGAUGCCCAUUCUCACGGCAGGUGUGGCACGACUGCUUCAGUUGGUGCUACCCACCAGCUCUCGCGCCCGCCUCCUCCGACCUCUUCCUUGAUUGGUGGCGUGCUACAACUCUGGCCACGCCGGCGACGCACCGGAAAGGAAUCUCCUCGCUUAUCCUACUGAUCGUCUGGUCCAUCUGGAAGCAUCGCAACUCUUGCGUCUUUGACGGUGCCGCGCCAUCUACGUCCAAGCUGCUCCACGACAUCCAAGAAGAGGCUCGCUCAUGGGCCACGGCAGGAGCCAAGGGUUUAGCAAUCAUCAUACCGUAG